Molecule: long non-coding RNA, 1104 nt
Organism: Drosophila sechellia
Lineage: Eukaryota; Metazoa; Arthropoda; Insecta; Diptera; Drosophilidae
Exons: 2
Source: RefSeq, a predicted model, not a curated record
CAAAUGGGCGGUUUUAUUUGCCCAUUGCUGAGGUCAGGGUUAGAUUUCAUAUGUCUAGACUCUAGACGGGGGGACUUUGGCCGCAUGUAAUCGAAGUCGCCUUAACAACCCGACGUGUUUGAUAUAUUUUAAAAGUAUCUGUCCGAAUCUCUAUUCAAUCGCAUGUGAAUCACCUGCUAAUUGCGGUUUUAUCAGACGAGCGGUUAUUACAAAAGUGGACAGUUGCGUACUUCGAACGCAGGAUGGGGCCAUUAGCCAGUUUAACACGUGAACCUAUGGUCAAGCAAGAGCUUACAAAUCAUACGAUGCUUACGCGAAAUGAACACGAGAAAGGUGAUUAGAAGAAUGUCGGCCAGUGGCGCCAGCAACGGGGGUUCUUAUGAAGGACUCCAUACAAUACUAUGAAACCCCGUAAAAAAUACACAUUUUAUUUUUUACACAUUUGUAUGUUGUGCCUCAGGAGCCCUUCUUCAAAAUAGUCCUACAUACGCCUCUGAUUUUUAAAAGAUUAGGUGGCAAGAAGAAGAAUUUCGCAUUCACACACAUGUAUGUGUAAUGCAAGAACAGCAGAUCACCCGCAAAAGCUUUUAACAUGGCGAAAGAAGAAAGGGCCACAGACAGUGAGAGAGGGAGAGAGAAAAAGCUAAUGCCGCCAGCAUGUCAACAAAACAGCCGACUGCUUUUGAGCCACGAGAGCGAAAACCGGUAAAAACCGACCACAGGCCACCAAAAGACAGCAAACAUUCGAAUACAAAGUCAGCAAACAUUGCCCAUUUAUCAGAGGCACGCAUUGAACUUGAAAUUUGCCGCUGCUUUUGCCAAUUUGCCAAUGAACGGACAUCGUGGGAGCUUACACAAGAGCAAACGAGAGCGGUAGUAAGCGCAAAGAGCAAGAUGGAGCGAGAGUAGUUUUCCUUUUGUUAUUGUUGCGGCCCGUUAUCACGUUGCAAGAGCGUGAUGCUUCACUGAGACAUUACACGCUGAGAAAACUGGAGCGCGUUCUUAAGUUCAGAUGAACUGAAUGAUCUGUUAUUUAAACAAAACUAAUAGAACUGUUAUAUUUAGAAUUCGAAAUGUAAAUAAACGACUUCUUCUGUCUUUAAA